GUGCUCGCUUCAGCAGCACAUAUAGUAAAAUUGGAACAAUACAGAGAAGAUUAGCAUGGCUCCUGCUCAAGGAUGACACCCAAGAUAGAAUACAAAUCAGAAAUGUGU
Molecule: small nuclear RNA, 108 nt
Organism: Suncus etruscus (white-toothed pygmy shrew)
Lineage: Eukaryota; Metazoa; Chordata; Mammalia; Eulipotyphla; Soricidae
Source: RefSeq, a predicted model, not a curated record